This 334-nucleotide unclassified non-coding RNA is filed under the name Hevea brasiliensis (rubber tree). Lineage: Eukaryota; Viridiplantae; Streptophyta; Magnoliopsida; Malpighiales; Euphorbiaceae. The record is from RNAcentral.
GAAAAACAUGGUCCAGAUACAGGAUUAAGGUCUUGGAGUCAUGGGAGUAAAGUUCUUGGAAUUUGUCGAACUAUGAUCAUGCAUCACUAUAGUUCCAAAUUAUUUGUUGGGCUGUCUCGUCUUUUAUCAUUCACUUGUCUUUACUUCCCAGAUCUGGAGGUUCGUGAUAAUGCCAGAAUAUACCUGCGGAUGCUGAUUUGUGUUCCUGGGAAAAAGUUAAGAGACAUUCUAAACAGUGGGGACUUGCUUCCUGGAAUUUCUCCAUCUAGCCAUUCCAACUCUUUCUUCAGUGUUCAGUCACCUAGACUUUCUCACGACCCCAAGAAAUCUAGGA